This is a long non-coding RNA of Trachemys scripta elegans, 651 nucleotides long. RefSeq lists it as uncharacterized. NCBI's taxonomy places the organism in Eukaryota, Metazoa, Chordata, Testudines, Emydidae. The transcript has 6 exons. The record is from RefSeq and is a predicted model, not a curated record.
UUAACUCACAGCGCUGUACAGCUGCAAGUGGCCUUGUCAACACUGGUUCUCCACUUGUAAGGUGGAAUUCAGCCCAUUGUGGAGGGUCUUUUGCACAGUGACCAGCACAAGGACAGGAGGAGUGUCUACACAGAAGUUGCUGCCCCCCACCCCUCCCAAUGGAUGCAGUCUCAAUGCUGGGUCUGUAUGAGUCAGCAGAAAGAAGAAUAUUGGAGUGUCAUUCCAGAUAGGGUCUAGAUGUUCAACUCACCUCUUGGAUUUCCGGAUCAUCAUCAGCCAGGAUCUCUAACAACAGCGUCUGAAUGGCUUCCCCAGGGGCAAAGUGCCUGGCGGAGUCUGUGGCUUGGACAGCAGAGAAAUGGUUGAGGCUCAGCUUGGACAAGAUGGCAAUUAUACUGAAAAGAUGAAAAUUCCAUAUGGAUCAUCAUUAGCUAGAACAGUUAAUGCAGCGUUAGUACGAAUUCCAAGACGACCACUGGAAACAUUGAUGAUCAAAACAGAAAACAUCUUAUCCAGUUCAGGAUACUCAUCAGGUUCUGUCCCAUUGACCAAGAGCGACUCAGCACUGAACUCAAACACACCAUGAGCAUCAUCAGAGGCAUCGAUGGUCACUAUGACGUGGGAUGCUAUUCCCAGGCUGGCUGUAGGUAC